AGAGUUUGAUCCUGGCUCAGGAUGAACGCUGGCGGCGUGCUUAACACAUGCAAGUCGAACGAAGCACUUUAUUUGAUUUCCUUCGGGACUGAUUAUUUUGUGACUGAGUGGCGGACGGGUGAGUAACGCGUGGGUAACCUGCCUUGUACAGGGGGAUAACAGUUGGAAACGGCUGCUAAUACCGCAUAAGCGCACAGCAUCGCAUGAUGCAGUGUGAAAAACUCCGGUGGUAUAAGAUGGACCCGCGUUGGAUUAGCUAGUUGGUGAGGUAACGGCCCACCAAGGCGACGAUCCAUAGCCGACCUGAGAGGGUGACCGGCCACAUUGGGACUGAGACACGGCCCAAACUCCUACGGGAGGCAGCAGUGGGGAAUAUUGCACAAUGGGCGAAAGCCUGAUGCAGCGACGCCGCGUGAGCGAAGAAGUAUUUCGGUAUGUAAAGCUCUAUCAGCAGGGAAGAUAAUGACGGUACCUGACUAAGAAGCACCGGCUAAAUACGUGCCAGCAGCCGCGGUAAUACGUAUGGUGCAAGCGUUAUCCGGAUUUACUGGGUGUAAAGGGAGCGCAGGCGGUGCGGCAAGUCUGAUGUGAAAGCCCGGGGCUCAACCCCGGUACUGCAUUGGAAACUGUCGUACUAGAGUGUCGGAGGGGUAAGCGGAAUUCCUAGUGUAGCGGUGAAAUGCGUAGAUAUUAGGAGGAACACCAGUGGCGAAGGCGGCUUACUGGACGAUAACUGACGCUGAGGCUCGAAAGCGUGGGGAGCAAACAGGAUUAGAUACCCUGGUAGUCCACACGGUAAACGAUGAAUACUCGCUGUUUGCGAUAUACAGCAAGCGGCCAAGCGAAAGCGUUAAGUAUUCCACCUGGGGAGUACGCCGGCAACGGUGAAACUCAAAGGAAUUGACGGGGGCCCGCACAAGCGGAGGAACAUGUGGUUUAAUUCGAUGAUACGCGAGGAACCUUACCCGGGCUUAAAUUGCAGAUGAAUUACGGUGAAAGCCGUAAGCCGCAAGGCAUCUGUGAAGGUGCUGCAUGGUUGUCGUCAGCUCGUGCCGUGAGGUGUCGGCUUAAGUGCCAUAACGAGCGCAACCCUUGUUGUCAGUUACUAACAGGUUUCGCUGAGGACUCUGACAAGACUGCCAUCGUAAGAUGUGAGGAAGGUGGGGAUGACGUCAAAUCAGCACGGCCCUUACGUCCGGGGCUACACACGUGUUACAAUGGGGGGUACAGAGGGCCGCUACCACGCGAGUGGAUGCCAAUCCCCAAAACCUCUCUCAGUUCGGACUGGAGUCUGCAACCCGACUCCACGAAGCUGGAUUCGCUAGUAAUCGCGCAUCAGCCACGGCGCGGUGAAUACGUUCCCGGGCCUUGUACACACCGCCCGUCAAGCCAUGGGAGCCGGGGGUACCUGAAGCGCGUAACCGCAAGGAGCGCCCUAGGGUAAAACUGGUGACUGGGGCUAAGUCGUAACAAGGUA
RNAcentral lists this ribosomal RNA (1477 nucleotides) under metagenome. Its description in RNAcentral is "bacterial SSU rRNA". It matches the Rfam family "Bacterial small subunit ribosomal RNA". The record is from RNAcentral.